GAUGAACGCUGACAGAAUGCUUAACACAUGCAAGUCAACUUGAAUUUGGGUUUUUAACUUAGGUUUGGGUGGCGGACGGGUGAGUAACGCGUAAAGAACUUGCCUCACAGCUAGGGACAACAUUUAGAAAUGAAUGCUAAUACCUAAUAUUAUGAUAAUAGGGCAUCCUAUAAUUAUGAAAGCUAUAUGCGCUGUGAGAGAGCUUUGCGUCCCAUUAGCUAGUUGGAGAGGUAACGGCUCACCAAGGCGAUGAUGGGUAGCCGGCCUGAGAGGGUGAUCGGCCACAAGGGGACUGAGACACGGCCCUUACUCCUACGGGAGGCAGCAGUGGGGAAUAUUGGACAAUGGACCGAGAGUCUGAUCCAGCAAUUCUGUGUGCACGAUGAAGUUUUUCGGAAUGUAAAGUGCUUUCAGUUGGGAAGAAAGAAAUGACGGUACCAACAGAAGAAGUGACGGCUAAAUACGUGCCAGCAGCCGCGGUAAUACGUAUGUCACGAGCGUUAUCCGGAUUUAUUGGGCGUAAAGCGCGUCUAGGUGGUUAUAUAAGUCUGAUGUGAAAAUGCAGGGCUCAACUCUGUAUUGCGUUGGAAACUGUAUAACUAGAGUACUGGAGAGGUAAGCGGAACUACAAGUGUAGAGGUGAAAUUCGUAGAUAUUUGUAGGAAUGCCGAUGGGGAAGCCAGCUUACUGGACAGAUACUGACGCUGAAGCGCGAAAGCGUGGGUAGCAAACAGG
RNAcentral lists this ribosomal RNA (735 nucleotides) under uncultured Fusobacterium sp. RNAcentral's name for it is "bacterial SSU rRNA". It matches the Rfam family "Bacterial small subunit ribosomal RNA", at positions 28 to 776 of the family's 1533-position model. Lineage: Bacteria; Fusobacteriati; Fusobacteriota; Fusobacteriia; Fusobacteriales; Fusobacteriaceae. The record is from RNAcentral.